UGCAAGGGUGCGCCUGGACCUGUUGGACC
Molecule: non-coding RNA, 29 nt
Filed under: Homo sapiens (human)
Lineage: Eukaryota; Metazoa; Chordata; Mammalia; Primates; Hominidae
Source: RNAcentral